Molecule: ribosomal RNA, 1372 nt
Filed under: uncultured bacterium
Lineage: Bacteria
Description: bacterial SSU rRNA
Rfam family: Bacterial small subunit ribosomal RNA
Source: RNAcentral
GAUGAACGCUGGCGGCGUGCCUAAUACAUGCAAGUCGAGCGAACGGACGAGAAGCUUGCUUCUCUGAUGUUAGCGGCGGACGGGUGAGUAACACGUGGAUAACCUACCUAUAAGACUGGGAUAACUUCGGGAAACCGGAGCUAAUACCGGAUAAUAUUUUGAACCGCAUGGUUCAAAAGUGAAAGACGGUCUUGCUGUCACUUAUAGAUGGAUCCGCGCUGCAUUAGCUAGUUGGUAAGGUAACGGCUUACCAAGGCAACGAUGCAUAGCCGACCUGAGAGGGUGAUCGGCCACACUGGAACUGAGACACGGUCCAGACUCCUACGGGAGGCAGCAGUAGGGAAUCUUCCGCAAUGGGCGAAAGCCUGACGGAGCAACGCCGCGUGAGUGAUGAAGGUCUUCGGAUCGUAAAACUCUGUUAUUAGGGAAGAACAUAUGUGUAAGUAACUGUGCACAUCUUGACGGUACCUAAUCAGAAAUGCACGGCUAACUACGUGCCAGCAGCCGCGGUAAUACGUAGGUGGCAAGCGUUAUCCGGAAUUAUUGGGCGUAAAGCGCGCGUAGGCGGUUUUUUAAGUCUGAUGUGAAAGCCCACGGCUCAACCGUGGAGGGUCAUUGGAAACUGGAAAACUUGAGUGCAGAAGAGGAAAGUGGAAUUCCAUGUGUAGCGGUGAAAUGCGCAGAGAUAUGGAGGAACACCAGUGGCGAAGGCGACUUUCUGGUCUGUAACUGACGCUGAUGUGCGAAAGCGUGGGGAUCAAACAGGAUUAGAUACCCUGGUAGUCCACGCCGUAAACGAUGAGUGCUAAGUGUUAGGGGGUUUCCGCCCCUUAGUGCUGCAGCUAACGCAUUAAGCACUCCGCCUGGGGAGUACGACCGCAAGGUUGAAACUCAAAGGAAUUGACGGGGACCCGCACAAGCGGUGGAGCAUGUGGUUUAAUUCGAAGCAACGCGAAGAACCUUACCAAAUCUUGACAUCCUUUGACAACUCUAGAGAUAGAGCCUUCCCCUUCGGGGGACAAAGUGACAGGUGGUGCAUGGUUGUCGUCAGCUCGUGUCGUGAGAUGUUGGGUUAAGUCCCGCAACGAGCGCAACCCUUAAGCUUAGUUGCCAUCAUUAAGUUGGGCACUCUAAGUUGACUGCCGGUGACAAACCGGAGGAAGGUGGGGAUGACGUCAAAUCAUCAUGCCCCUUAUGAUUUGGGCUACACACGUGCUACAAUGGACAAUACAAAGGGCAGCGAAACCGCGAGGUCAAGCAAAUCCCAUAAAGUUGUUCUCAGUUCGGAUUGUAGUCUGCAACUCGACUACAUGAAGCUGGAAUCGCUAGUAAUCGUAGAUCAGCAUGCUACGGUGAAUACGUUCCCGGGUCU